This 1261-nucleotide small RNA is filed under the name Malus domestica (apple). RNAcentral's name for it is "sRNA MD12G0209100". The record is from RNAcentral. Lineage: Eukaryota; Viridiplantae; Streptophyta; Magnoliopsida; Rosales; Rosaceae.
CUCCCACUUUGGAGCGAGAUCCGUUCCGAGUAAAAGCGGUCAUGGAGCUCUUUGAACUGUGUCUGUACCGAUAUUUAUAGGAAAGCCUUCUUUGCAGUUUUUCAAUGGGUUGGAGGAAACCUACGAGUUUAAUGGUGCACAAACUCCCACGCAUUUCUAUAGUGACUUGAGAGAGAUGGUGUAUGACUUUCAUGCUCAACUACGGGUAACUCUGGAUCAUCCUCUUCUGAAGUGGGUACAAGUGCUCGAGACCUCACUUGUGGGGGUAACCAUGUUUCAAGACCGAAGAAUUGGCAAUAUGGAAUAGAACAAGCACAGGAUGAUUAAAUGGUGUGAAUUCAUGCUGUCCCAUCACUGAUGAUGCCAGGAAGGCAGUCAAAAUUUUCAGUGACAUUACAAAUUCUACAGAGAAAGUGAAGAUAUCAUUGGUAGAUGAAACUGGAAAUGAGGGCCUGCCAAACUUCAAUUAUAUACCAUAUGAUCACAGCUCACUUACUACGUACCAUGAGAAGACCCUACCGUUGUAAAUUAUGGGUUAGACAACGCCAUCGAAAUAAAAAUGCACCAAAUAUAAUGCAUCACAAAACCGGCAUGGCAACAGGAUAGACACUGCCAUCGAGAUAGAGAAUACCUCUACACCCAAACAUUUGCCACCCCAUGCCUAGGCCAACAGGAACAAACGAGCACAACCGCCAGAGCUUCGAGGUGAUGAGAAGAAAGAAGAAGAGAAUGGUGAAUGCUCCCUCCGUCAACUCGAACUUGAAAAAAUAAAAGAGCCUGUUGAAGACUCCCUGAGUCUGACUCAACCCAAUACUCCAGCUUCAAAGAAGAAGGAAGAAGAGAAUGGUGAAUGCUCCAAAGAGCUCGUUGAAGAUUUCCUGAGUCUGACUCAACCCAAUACUCCAGCUUCAAAGAAGAAGGAAGAAGAGAAUGGUGAAUGCUCCAAAGAGCUCGUUGAAGACUCCCUGAGUCUGACUCAACCCAAUUAAUACUCCAGCUUCAAAGAAGAAGGAAGAAGAAAAGCUUUGCGAGAAGAGAAGGAUCUUGAAGGAAGAGUGGGACAAAUGGGUAUCUGAGUGGAAGCAGUUGCACAAAGAAGAGAAAUGGCAGAGGCAAUUGCUUAGAGACGGAGAAGCAAGUGAUGAGGAAGUGAAGAAAAGGUGCUGGUGCGCACUGUACGGGUGCGUUUUGGUUUCACUCAUGAGGAGCGAGUGCGGAAGAUGGAGAUGAUUAAAAAAGAAGACUCACUGAGUCGAUACCG